Molecule: ribosomal RNA, 456 nt
Filed under: uncultured Methanosaeta sp.
Lineage: Archaea; Methanobacteriati; Methanobacteriota; Methanomicrobia; Methanotrichales; Methanotrichaceae
Description: bacterial SSU rRNA
Rfam family: Archaeal small subunit ribosomal RNA
Source: RNAcentral
AACGGGUGGAGCCUGUCGGUUUAAUUGGAUUCAACGCCGGAAAUCUCACCGGGGCGACAGCAAUAUGAAGGUCAGGCUGAAGACCUUACCCGAUUAGCUGAGAGGUGGUGCAUGGCCGUCGUCAGUUCGUACUGUGAAGCAUCCUGUUAAGUCAGGCAACGAGCGAGACCCACGUCCACAGUUGCCAGCAUACCCUCCGGGGUGAUGGGUACACUGUGGAGACCGCCGCUGCUAAAGCGGAGGAAGGAGUGGGCAACGGUAGGUCAGUAUGCCCCGAAUCUCCCGGGCUACACGCGGGCUACAAUGGUUGGUACAAUGGGCAUCUACCCCGAAAGGGGAAGGAAAUCUCUUAAAGCCAAUCGUAGUUCGGAUUGAGGGCUGCAACUCGCCCUCAUGAAGCUGGAAUCCGUAGUAAUCGCGUUUCAACAGAACGCGGUGAAUACGUCCCUGCUCCUU